GAAUGUAUAAGAUAAACUAAGUGCUAUGCUUGGAAAGAAAAACAAAAAGAUUAAGAAAACAAGAGAAUAGGUACUUCAAGAACUUAGAUUAAUUCAUUCUCUGGGACAAAUUUAUUUGUUUCUUAAACCUAAAUUCUGAGAUUAACCAAAGAGUCAGAGAUGACCAUUUGAUAACCCAGCAGACUAUAGCCCAGAUCGCACGGAAAAUCCCAACAAUUGAAAUUUCUUAAAAGAAGAAAAAAGUACGGGUAACCAGAUAUUCAGCAUUUCUAAUUCGGACCAGGAAGGAAGAGAAUACACUGUUGCCCAAAAUGAUAACAGAAAGUGAAAAUCUAGUAACUGGAUCAGCCACACAUUCCCAUAUUUCAACCUUUCAAGAUGGCAGAUCAAGAUCAUAAAACACCUAAAAUUGAAAACCAGGUAACUAUAUUCCUGAC
Molecule: unclassified non-coding RNA, 437 nt
Filed under: Hevea brasiliensis (rubber tree)
Lineage: Eukaryota; Viridiplantae; Streptophyta; Magnoliopsida; Malpighiales; Euphorbiaceae
Source: RNAcentral